CCUUCAGUUUCAACAGCUCCCUCCUCUCCAUUGUGCCCUUAUCGCUCCCCACCGGGGUGGCAGAGAAAUUAAAUUACUUAUCGCCAACUUCAUUAACUCCCUUAUCUUUGCCGAGGCACAUAUCAAACAGAAUUUCUCUUAAACAUCUCCCCCUAUUCCCAGCCUUUUUUUUUUAUGCAUGAGAUAUCCCUGCCAGACAGCAGCGAGCCGAGCGAGUGCAUGAGAUGUAGUCCAAUAUGUCUUGUGAGAAAGGAUCAUCCAGCCUCACAAUGGUCAGUAAGGACGCCGGUGCUGAACUGUGAGGCCGCGCAGCGCUAAUGAUGAAACACGCUGUUAAUUACUGUUCCAUCAGUGCGUACAACUUAGCUUUGCCAGUGUUUUUACCUCAGACGACCAAUCUCGCACACUACAAAUUAGAACACGGAGUGUUAUUUCUCCACUGAGAAAUGUUCAGUAAGAUUGUUUCCAUGGAAACAGUCCGACAGGCAUUACUGUAAUGUGUCUGCUGUUUGGAGGCAAAAGGAAACUUCCAAAGUGGUGUUUCUCUUCAAAUGUUUGCAUUUGGCAGAUCGAUUUAAUUCAACGGAAACAUUCACAUCUAAGAGAACAUCAAGCAGGAGGAGGAGGAGGAGGAGCAGAGGAACACUGCCAAUUUGUAAAACACAAGACGCAAGUCUAGUCCUCUUUUAUUUGUGCUGCACGUCAGCUGAUGUCAUAGGGGAUCAGAAGGUCUCGUGUGGUACAACUUCAUGGAUAAGAAGGAAUGCUUUCUCUCCUGACAUCAUGAGCAUAUCUGGGGAACUAAUUUACUUUACACCAACUGGGAGUGUUGACAUGUAACACAUUCUGACCGCCGCACAAUUUUGUAAGUUACUCACUCACCACAUACUGUCAAUGGAUACAUUAUUAUGUUUGGGCAUAUUUGCACUUUAAAUGUCUCUUUAAAUUGGAUUACGUGUGAAUCAAUCCAGCGUAGCCCUUGACGUGAAAGUGGGGUUUACAUUUUCUUCAUACGUCCGGCUGCUGGGUUUGUGUUUUCUCCUCCGCCAUGUCUUUGUUUCCCGUCUGUUCCUCACAGGUGUGGUGAGUUGCUGCUGACGAUGCAGGCGUGGCCAGCUGUUUCUCCAGCCAAUCCAGCGCAGCUCUGCACUAUAAAUGUUUUGUUUGUGAGAGGUUAGAGAGGAUUGUGUUGGGAGAGAUUGAUCGAUCUGGGGGGUAUUCCAGAAAGCGGGUUAUGUGAAAACUCAGAGUAAGUUAACCCUGAGAUCAGGGAAACUCUUGAGUUAUCCGUUCCAGAUAGAGAAGUAACUGAAACUCUCAGUCAGUCACCAUGGUAACAGACUCUGAACGUAACCUGCUCACUGGCAGGGUUACUAUAUGAAACCCAGAGUUUCUACAGUCACCUCCCACAUGAAGAAAGCUGGUAGACAUGGAUUGCCCGUUCCUACCGAAUCCAAUUGACAUCGAAGCCUUAGUGAUUCGAAAUGCUUUACGUCUUCCGACCCAGAUUAGACGUUUUAUCAUUUCCAGAGGAAUUUCUGUUAGAACGCUACCGCUUUACUGGUAACUAGGAAACAUAUGGAUGACACUUAAUUCCUAUAGUCCACAUACAGAUUUAACACGGUAUUGAUCAAAAAUCUUACUGCUUCAAGCUGUGCACGUUGAUGGACCCUCCUACUGGUGAUGCCCAACCAUGUUCUGUUCAAGGACAAGAAUGUGCUAGUUAGCCAUUCUGCUCAUCACUUCAGUCUACAUGUCAAACUCCAAAUUCCACUCCAUGUGAAUGGGCAGAGCACAGCCAGUAGAUAAUAUUAAGACACAUUACUUUUAACUACCAUCUGAGGCAAGAUCUGAGUAUCUGCAGGGUUUACAACUGUGCAGAUGACACCAUCUACAACUGUUGGAUGGAUACACACACACAACCGUUCAAAAGUUUGGGGUCACUUAGAAAUGUAUUUUUCAAAGAAAAGCACUCUUUUUCAAUGAAGAUAACAUUAAAUUAAUCAGACAUACACUCUACAUUGUUAAUGUGGUAAAUGACUAUUCAAGGUGGAAACAUCUGGUUUUGAAUGAAAUAUCUACAUAGGUGUAUAGAGGCCCAUUUCCAGCAACUAUCACUCCAGUCUACUAAUGGUACAAAAAAUGUGUGUCUCCUAAGUGGGAUAUUAAGUGAAAAGACGUGUAAAAACGACAUUUUAUUAGGGGUUUAAUUUACUAUUUCAAGUAGCCACUGAAUUAACUUACUUUGUUUAAUAGCCAAAGUCAAUUAAAGAAAAUGAAUUAAAGUAAGGUGCAAUCAUAGCAAUAUAUGCCAUACCUUUUUUCACUGUUUUUAUAUUUCAUUUUUAGCUGCUUCCAGGUCCUUUUUUGGAUUGCACCUAAAAUGAAAAUCAGAUUACAUUCCUACUUAUAUUCAUAAUUAUAGACUGCGACGAUCUUACGGUUAGAUGUUAUGUCAAUGGAACAGUACAUUCAAACUUACGCGUUGACUUGGGAAGCGAUUUUUCCCCACGCGGUCUCUGGCGUGGUCCUAGGUAGUUACGCCCUCCUCCUCUCCCGAGAGGGUGUCGUACCUUAUUGCUUUUAUAAUAUGGUUACUAGCGAAAUUAUAAAUAGUAAGUAAAUAGCUGCCUUUCAGCAGAAAAUAGUUGUAGCCACCAAACGCUGUGUAUCGCAUUUCAGUAGUGUAGAGAAAAAUAGUCGCUGUACAUUCUUGUAAACAGCAUUGGGUCUCGUUGCAACGAAAGCUUGCAUCGCCUGAAACCGAUCAUUUGUGGAAUUUCUGGUCUUUCUUUGGCAAUUGCCACCGAGCUAAAAGCUGAAAUGUCAACUAACGGUCGCGUUACUUUUACUGUACUUUUACACCAAAUGGAGCACAGCUUGUUCAGUGGAAGCUUCAGACUAUGACGACAUACAGUACAUACUCCUUUAGUGUCUUGCAUGUGGUUUUGACACACAUCUAUUUGUGUUAUUUCAGUAUGUAACCUCACAUAUCUGUUACCCACUGACCGUUCACAUCGAGUUAUUUUGAUUGUCAGUUUAUAUUCGUCAGAGAGCAGUUAUUAAGUGCCUCCAUUCUGAUUUGUUGAAUUACGGCAAAAUUGCAUUUCUGUUGGCAACUUGAUAGAUGAUUUAAAUUGCAUUCACCUCUCGGCGCACAAAUGUAUUCUCUGAUAAUAAGAUUUAUUUAAAUCAAUUUCAUUCUUAUUUCUCUUGAGGUUUGCUGUUUUGUUCGCCUAAUAAAUUCACUCCUAUAGCCCCUUACAUGCACUCGCAGUAGAGGAUUAUUGCUUAAAAGUAGGACUUCCUGAGAUUAUAAAAGAGAAAUUAUGGUCAAUAUCAGAACAAAGGAUGCUCACAAUACUACUGUGUCCAAUCACCUGCACCUUCCCACUGCGUUUUUGCCCCCUUGGCAUUUUUUUUUAUACCAUUUUUAAAAAUGAAUAGAGUAUAUGAAUAAGAAGCUCUUCACAUGAAAUAAAAGUAUGUCGUCACUCUAGAAAAAAUCAGUCCUCCCUUAUAACCCUUUAUGUCACAUACGUGUAUGUAUGUAUUGCUCACUCACUUAAUAUGUGAAAACAUGUUAGUAGAAAGUCUAUAUUUCAUGUCAAAAUACAAUCCUCUCUUCUGCUGUAAACGUAACGUGUGUUUACGUAAUCUAGCACGAACCCAUAGGAUCAUGACAUCAUCUGAUGUGUGUGUGGAGCCCUUUAUCAUCGCCACACAUGGUGAGGAUGGGAUUACCACCACUGAUCAGGGCAGGUAAUGAAACCUCCUCACCUCCCACAGAGGGAUGAAUCCAAAUUGAGGUUUGCAUGGUUCGUAUUUCACCUGGAGAUUACAACGCUCACAUGGUUGUGUUCGCUCAUUUCCCCCAGUUCAUUUGGUUGCUUUAAGCUCAGAGAUGAAGUCCAACUGCGGCGCAUUGAUAAAAAAAAAAAGACGUGUAAACGUUUCUCCCAUCCGCAGCCAGGAAACGUUGUCCCUUUCUCUGGCAUCCUCUGAUAUGACGUGCACGAGGCAGAAGCAUGCAUGGAGGUACAUUGCGCUGUCAUCCACAGUCAGUGUUGGGACCAUACAGAUCGCAGGUUUUUUUUUUCCCGCUCAGCUGCCGCGGAGUAACAGGAUGGAGCUUGUUUCCACGCACCUCAACAGUCUUGGCCAAUCUUACAUCACGUCUCUCUGAUAUGAGACUCAUUUGACAACCCAAAGAGACAAUCCGCCGCCGUUCACGAGCAGCCGGCGUCCCACGUGACGGCGUGAGGUUUCUGCCGCUGAAGCAAGCUUUCCUCACUUCCGACUUGUCAAUUGCGCCCGCUCGGUCGGCGGCCUUAGGCUUCAAACUAUGACGAAAAAAAGAAGCAAACUUGGUAAGCUAACAGGACCACUUGGUUAGCUUCCGGCUCGCUCACAGAGAUGUGGAGAUGUCGUCAAUGUAGAUUCAAACGAGUAGUAACAGUAACCAAACGUAAGAAUACCGCUAACGUUACAUACUGUGAGCGGAAAACAAAUCGCUAUUGGAAACAACAGGCCUCGUCUGUCAGAAGGGGGGAAACGUCACAACCCUUCCAGACAUUCUUGGUCAUUACCUUACUCAAUGACUCCCACUGGUUGGAGUCAGUCUGGGUUGCUUUUGAAUUAAAUUAAAUGAGUCAGUAAGCAAGGAUCACUAAUUAGCAUUAGUUUCCCUUAACCGCGGAUGCCUGACUCUUUGUGAUUUUUUUUUUUUAAAUCAAUGGAAGGAUGGCCCCGCUUUAGGGUAAGAUUAGAUUUGGGUAAAAAUACACAACCUCGUUGAUUAUUGGCAGGUCAUUCCAGGUAUUUCUGACAUUUUAACCAUAUUGCGCUGCCUAUUCCCAUACUGCUGAAUACUUAAUUUCAAUACAUGUACUAUCCGACAUGACAUAACGCAACGGUUUCCUGAACCGGCCAGUUUUUAGCUAUCCGGUAAAACUAAUUAUAAAACAUGAUCGUGUAGUGUUUACAGGUGAUUUAACGGUGAUAAAGUAAGCGUUACCUCAUUACCUUUCGAGCCAAACACUGGUUUGAUUAUGAACGUUAGAAUCUUCUUAACCAGAGUCUGUGAAAGGACGCCAAUGCCGGUGAAUUUGCCGUGCAGCGUUAUAGCCAUGACCCGGCCAGACAUUCAUCUACAUGGUAAACCUUUUGUUUUUUGCUGGUAUUAAAUUACCAACAGUGCUGUCAACAAAUCCGGGAACCCAAUUCUGGCAUUUCAUAAUAAGAAAUCCCGCUUCCGAAACACCUCGAAAUAGUCUUACUGUGAGAGCGUUAUUUGCACUAACUCGUCGCCCCACUGCAUUGCUAACAAAAUGGCUUUUUUACAGUCAGAGUUAACGCAAGUUAAAAGCAGUUAUCCUUAGAAGCUUUGGGAUUUUUAUUAAUUCCUUCCAAGCCUUACAUUUUUUUUUUCAGUCAAAAUCAUAGUUGAUUUAUGAAUUGAUUCUUCUAUGUCCUCUUUCAUGCAAGAAAUAACUUUGACACGGUUAUGAUAAUAAAGUAAAGCUUACUGAAUAUUCGUAGGGAGAGGCCCAUCAUUUUAAAGUUGCAUGCUUUGGUUGUUCUUCCCUCCACCACAAACCCUUCUCAUCUGUUCCCAAAAGGAAACUACAGACUUUGACCCAGAAUCGAGUCUCCGAGCAGCUCAAGAGAUGCUUCGUACAAUGUCCUUGAAAUCUUUCUCUAACCUGAUUAUCCUAGAAAGAGACAGGAACAUGUAAAUGUUGUCGAUGCAAACUUAAGACAGAACAGUGAAGAAACAAAGAUCUGAGGAAUUUUAAAACAAUUUCUGGAAUAUUAGAUGCUCCGCUAUCUUUCAUGGAUUACUCACUUUUCUAAUAUCAAAUUCUGCCACUUUUUAAUCUCCUUUUUCUCCUCCUCAACGCAUCUAGUCUGCCUGUACAGCUACUCCAAUUCUACACCAUGGCGGUGAUACAGCCAACUAUACCUCUUCUAUACAACUAUACUCGUUCUCUCUAUCCCAAGUUUUUUAAAAGGCAUAUCAGUGCCUGACCAGUAAAAAAUAACUGGAUAAGCGAUCCAUAAUAAGAAGUGAUCUCUGUUGUGAUGGUUCAUUUCCCCACCUCUGUUCCACACAUUGAUUCUAAUUAUGGCCGAGCUGUUUCACCUUCUCCUCUGUAAGGAUUUUCGGUGUCAGACUCUCUCCCGGAGGUGCCUCCCCGAGAUAAAACAGGGAGCGGAGCCAACAUUUCUUACAGCCAGUGAGGCCGACAGAUUUAUCCGAUGACACACGGAGCCAAACAUCUGCAAACAAACCGCCACGUUAGCGCUAAACAAGUACUUGUCUUGUACAGUUUUGAUGCCAUGACGGAGAAUGUCUAUGUUAACAAUCCGCGUAUCUAUAAUGUAUCUAGACGAGUCAAUUGAGGGCAGUUAGUUUACAGCAGAUAUUUUCAAUGCUAACAUUAGCAAAUGCAAACAAAGCUUCUGAAUGCUUUGUCAUGGAACUUUGGAACUGAUGCCUUUUUCAUUGUGACAAGCUUUGGUUAAAUUACAUACAAUACAGUUGUAAUUUGUUUGUCUAAAAGACAUUUUAAUUCUGCGAUAUGUGUCCUAAUCAAAUGAGCAAAAAAGUUUUUCUUUUGCCAAAACCGCAGGAGAGUUAAGAAAUAAGCCUUUUUUUUAAUUCCCUCCGCCAGAUGUUUGGAUAUUUUUUAUUGGCACUGAAUUUCAUCCUUUUUUGUAAUUAUACCAUUUAUUAUUAUAAAAACAUGCUUUUUCAGUAAAUAAAAAGCUUGUGAUUACAAUAUUUCCCAUGAGCACCGCCACAUUGUGUCGUAGCAAUUCUGAUCCGGCUACCGUGUGCGUCUGUUGAGGAAUCAGGUGACGUUUAAAAGAAAGCUACAAGGAUUUCUAUUUGUGAUCAAGCCAAUGCUGCUGAAAGCCUUGCAGUGCUUACCUGAUUACCUGAAGCGUGUCUUGACUUUCAAAACCCAACACACAUACUUGUGAAUAGGUUAAUUCCCUUUAGUGGUUUAUCCUCCGAACUUACAAAUACAUACAAAUUACAUCCGUAUUCCAUUAAAACAUCAAUAUUUUUCCACAGGGUCAACGAAUCAACACAAUGUACUUUCACCGGCUGCUGCUUGUACAUUUUAAUACGGGCAGCUGAUUUCAAAGUGCAUUAUUGAGGAUCCCUAACUCCUUCAGAAUAACAUCAGGAGGCAGCAUGUUUAAUGGAUCCCAUCCAGGCAAAGUCUGAAUAGUAAUGUUUUUAUGUUCACAGGCUGCUGAUUUCAUCUCAAGAUCAGACCGCUAUCUGUCUUAGAAAAUAAGCCCAACACGUACGAGUUGUCCUUCAUCAAAAUUCCAAAGUGAGAAUUAGAACUGCUUUGCAAAACAUACUGUCCUUUCCGGUGGUUAUGCAAUAUCCUGUUUUCUCUAUUCAUCUCUAACAAUAGCUUCUCCUGCUCCGGUGCCACAUUUGGUUGGGACAACAUCACUGUGAGGCAGCUAAGUAAAUUGAGUUUCUUUCCAGCAGGAGUGCUUGUUUUCCAUCCUCGCAGGUUGAACACUGACCCUAACAACCCCGACCCCCCAGUCGGUGAAAUUGAAUUGUUACUCUCAGUUUUUCUCAGCACACAAUCUCCUGCCUGCAUGUUACAAUUUGCCCAAGCUGUCACUGGGCUUGCAAAGGGGUCAGAGAGUCAUUCUCUUCUCCAAGGAAUCUGUUUCCCGAAUGACUAUUUUUGUGCAAACAAACAAUUCCUGCCACUUCCCUUCACACCGGAGUGUCUGUUUCACUCCCCGAAUUUUACCCCGCUGAGGGUGAUUCACUGUGAUCAGUUUGCGCUCUGGAAUUUGGAUUGGCAUUUUUUUAUUUUACUAUCGUAUUUCAGAGGUUUUAUUAAAACUGUUACAUCUACAGAAGUAGUCUCAAAGAACACUUAUUUCUGUUAAAUGUGUAAAUAUUAAAAUAACUCAUUCAAAUAGAUCCAAAGAAAGGAAAUAACACAGAAUUCACCAUAUUUACUGAAUGUUCAUGGAUCUGUUUGCUUCAAAUUGCUGUCAAGAAGGUGCUGGGGAUAAAGGCAGGACGCAAACGAGUCUUUCGGAAACAAAAAGGGACUUUAAUAGUCCAAAAAGGUUUUCAAAAGCAAAAGGCCAAGGGGCAAAAACUCAGUCGAAGAACAAGAGACAUGGGCUUCUGACAACUAACAAUGAUGCAACAAGGGACAAAAGACACACAUGACUUAAAUACACUGGGAGGGUGCAGGUGAUUGGACACAGGUGGAAACAAUCAGACAAUCACAGGGGGAUGACAGGACAAGGCAGGAAGUGAAGUUACCCAGGGACACAAGAGGCAGAAAACUACAAAAUAAGAAAGGAAACAAACCCAAACUGUGACAAUUUCCACUUCCUUCCACUUAAAAUGAUACAAAUGGACCACUGGGGUCUUUAAACAAAGCUUGAGAUGAUGCCCCAUCACAGCAGCCUGCUCUCACCAAGUCCCGUACGGAUUACUCUACUAAUUUGCUGCUUUUGUUAUUUCGAUCCAUUUAGUCUGUGAGGAGGAGCAAGUGACAUAUCGUAAGUGAGAAGGACUACUUGAAGAUGGAUUGCAGAGGAUGUGGACGGGUCGAACGGGGCACCUGUGAAACCAAAAGAGUAACAUACAUGUUUCACGUUUGUGCACCUUCUUAUGGGAUCACAUGUUUAUAUGAUAUGUCUGUCGUUUUAAGACAUUCAUAAUAAGUCAUCAACUAUAAAGGUCUUCACCUGGCUUUGAUUUUGCAAGUCAGCUUUUGCAUUAAUCAUUCUCUCUGUUAAAGGAAAAUUAUGUUUUAACCGGCACUACAUAAUUGAUGCUGAUGUGAGCAUAACCACUUAAAAAGUGAUGAUACGCCACCAUCACCAUAAUUACCUCUGAAUUCCACUGGGAUGCAAGGCUGGAGUAAAAAUAAUCAACUCAUAAUGUGGCGUCUCAUUACCUUUUUUUUCUUUUGUACGUUUUCUUAUUAAUGUCGCGACACAGUGAAAAAUAAAUAAGUGUUCCAUUAGGUGUUCCCAUAAACAGGACGUUCAGAGUGGGCACCCUGGGGACUCCGCAUUCUCCAGUUUCACAAAGCCUCAAGAUUAAUUCAAGUCAUAUUUCAGUGGUGCACCGCAAGAAACAAAACCCCACAACAACACUUAGAAUAAUCACUUCAUUUAGUGGAUUGCAUUUGAUAUAAGUGAUGUUUAUUUGUCUAGAAAAUGUUUCCUUCUUUCUUGUAUCCCUAUAUCUUUGUCCUGACAAAUGAUGAGUGAGAAGAAACAAAAUGAUGGUUCUCGUUGGGUGCCAGGGUUUCAGGAGAUUAAAAAAUGACCCAGAUUGGGACAAAUUUAAGUGCACAAAGACCAAAAGCCGUUCAGCUAAAUCUUAAUUCAAUGUGUGCGUUUCUGCCAAAUUUGAAGAAUAUUCACAACAAUCCAACUGAGUAUUCACUGUGUUCUUAAAGUCUCCCCCUACUUAGCUGUAUCACUUACAUAAUCAGAUAAUACUAUUCGCUUAUUAGCUUGUUAGCUUAUCAAUGAAUUGACGCAAGGAGUCAAAUUCAAUCAAUCGGAAUAUUCAAAGCUUGUGAAUGGACACUUGCCGAGUGCGAGCGUUGGCACAAGUGCUUCAAAAGUAUCUUAUCCACGAAUUACUUCACUGUACUCUGAACUGCUGCGGUGUAUUUCCAAUGUGCCCAGGAGUCCUUCAGCACUCCGUUUCAAUUAGCAGCAGGCUAAUGGAUGUUGACACUGAAUCUACCCCCACUUUCAAAUCCGGGGGAAGCCGACUCCUUCAGACGAGCGGCACCACCUCGUCCGCGGCCGGGGCCAGAUGCUUUUGAGAUUCAGCGUGACAGCGCUGAAACCAGAUGGCCUGUGGAGUCUGACCCUCAUCCCAGGAAGUACGAGGCGAUGGUUAGAGGCUCGAAGUCGUGACGCAACUGGCAAAGACCUGUUCAGAUUCCAAGCAGGCGGCACAGCGGGCGCAGCCUGACCCAACGGACUGACUUUAUUGCCUCCCCAAUUACCUGCAUGGUGCUGGAAGUGCAAUCGGACAGUUAGUCCUUGAUUGAGCUUCAGUAUUGUCUCAACUGGUCCAAUCCAGUCGGAUAAAGCAGAGAAAAGGGUUGUACACAGCACUAAGGAGGCAUACAAAUGUACGUUUCUUUUUUUAGUUAAAAAAAUGUCAGAUUAAAGUCUACAUUAAUGUUUUGCCUGACACCAAUGUGGGUCCUCUUUUCUGGAAUGUUUUUGCUGCCAUUUAGCAGCCAAAUCAAAUAGUUGAAAUCAACACUUUGUUUGUUCAUAAUGCAUUUGAUACUAGUAAGUAAUCCAGGUCAAUGAGAUAUGAUUUCACAUGGAAUAACAACCCAUUUUCAUUUUUAGGGACAGUUAUGGCUGGUUGCCUGUUAGUCGUUGGCCUUUAGAUUCUCCACAGUUCAUUUUGUCUUUACGCCCUCUGGCGUUUCUGAGAAUAAGGCAUUGAGCAAUAACUCCUCGUUGCACGCUCUGCAGGAAGAUAACAAAGUUUAACGCCGAUGUCAAGCUGCUCUCACCGGGGUCGACUUUAAAUGAUUUUAUAUUAAUCCCUCACCAACAUUUCCCCGAAUUAAAGGUUAAAUAUUAACAAACCAUCAAUAAUAACCGUACUGAACUUUCUAAUUAUAGCCGCUAAUAUUUGCACUGACGACUGCACUUUGUUGUGUGAUUUACGUAAACAAAUGCAAAUUGAUUUACUUAACAAGGCGAUCUCUAUAGCGUGAACUUCACAGGGAAUCUAAAGGCUGUUUGAAUUCUGACAUCCUGCUUUGCACGAGGCAACGUGUGUAAUUCUCACCCACACACACUGCAGUUUGCAUAUCCUGCUAUUGAGGCGUCAGAUUAACAUAAUGUAUUACAUAAUAAAAUACUAAUAUAACAAUGCAUGUCCUGUCCUUAGUUACCGACUAACAGUAACUUAAACUAGGGGUGAAGUUGUGGGCAUUUGCCAGGCUGUGGGGUCUAAUGAAAGAUGUUAUCAAGCCAUAUCAUUGUGGUGAGGUCGGUAAGUGUUUGAGAGGUACUAGGGACUUCUCAAUGUAUUUAUUCAUUUAAUUAGAAUUUUGAAAUGUGAAAGAUGCUAUCUCGUUCCGUUAUAGGAGGUCUAAGAGGUUUUUAGUCGUGACCUACACAGACUGAAAGUCUGGAUGGCUCAAACCAUUUUGGUAGAAAAUCUCCGACUUGAGCCUGAAACCAUUAUUUAAACCUCAAGUUAGUCUUUUGAAGAAGGACCAGACAAAAAGUCACAACAUUACAAAUGUCUUCACACUUGGAAGUGGUCCUCCGAAAGAUAAUAGUACAAGAGUACACACACACACUUUCACUGUAAGUGAAACAAGGCUUCGCACGUCACACUUUCGGGCAGCAGUUAUAUUUUUAAAUGUGGAUUUGAAGCUGCGCUCUACUUUUAUUAAUAAUACAUCUACAGCAAUAGAAUUCCUUGAGACCUGUCAAAGCAAAAUGGUCAAUUUAGGACAUUCAAUGCGAAUGUGGGACGACACCGACGCACAUUAUUUCAGUUGGGCUUGUCAAGGAGUUGCUUUGCAUCGGUCAUCCUCUAUCGUUUAGUUCAAAGGUUAUUUGGAGAAAGGACUUGGAGGCGCGGACCGUCGGACAUCACAAACCGCACAAAGCUACAACAAAUCAACCCUCACCUCCUUGGUCAACUGAAUCAGUGUGAUUGACAGAGCAAAGUAAUGAAUCCUCUCCGCUAAACGGGGGUACCGGGUUGGUGUGGAGGGUUAAAGGAUCUCACACACGUUGGGCCGCUUACUUUUCACAAAAUGCCAGCGUAAGUCAUGCGUUCCUCUUCCUCCCUCUCAUCAUUCUGCGCUGUGGGCUCGAGCUGAGGGCCGUUAAACGUUCGUUCUGGGAUCCCGCGAUGCGUUUCCUCGCUGUCAGACGACCAAUCGGGGACAUGGAUGAGUGUUUUGUUCGCUCCGACUCAAAACAUUUCUCCCUUUCCUCAGUGGUGUGCUUUGAAAUGAAUACAGUAUACUGGACUUCAGGCACGUUCAUGUCAUUUCCAUAUCUAAUUACUGUCACAUUGACAUUCACAAUGCACACGACACGGCAUCAUUUCUCACCACUGUUGAGACGGUGAGACUUCUAAUGGCUCAGAGGAAGACCUGGCAUCCGACACCUUUCACUUUCUCUCGCAGCUAAGGCAUUAAUUAACGAGAGAUUUAAAUAAACACAGAAUGGUCGGCCGUGUUAAGGUAAGUUUUAGAGGAGUAAUUGCAUGUAAAUACAGCUCGUAGUCCGUGAUGGUGUGAAGCAGCCGGGGUUGAAGAAACGUAUUUAGAGGAGCGAUUCGCGAUGAGUAGUUGAUCUGGGAGUAAUUGCAUAUUAUUUGUCACUCACCACCGAAGUGAUGCGAGCGCAUAGUUCAUAGUUGGCAGCUAUGAGUAGCAGCUUGCAGAGUUACUAAUCCAGGCCGAGUGCUAAAACUUGGUCAUUUAUUUAUUUAAAACGUUUAUUUUCCCAUUAAAAGUCAACGCAAUUCUCCUGGUGUCUUCAGGGAUUCGAGACAAAACGUUUGAGCCCGUUUUACUUUAACGCAUUCAUUUGGGAUUACAGUCUAUUUCUAAAUAUACCAAUAGUGCCGUCAUGCUACAUAUUUUUUUCACUAUAAAUACUGAUGAUCCACACAAAUAUUCAGUGAACGCAUCAAGGUUGAGGGAACGAAGUAUAAAAUAUAGAAGAUAUAAAUGUUUCAUAGCGCUGUGGACGGUGCAUCAUCAAUCUGCUCCCAUCACAACAUGUGAGAGUAUUUACGUCAUGUGAAAUUUGAAUGGAUAAAAAAAUGCAAAACAUGUCAAUUAAUUCUCUGCCAAUAACAUAAACAUGACUGUUCUAUAAUUAUUCCUGAAUAUGAAUGUAUUAGUGAAUACAUGCGAAUAGAAUGAAAACAUCUAUUCAAGGGGACUUUCAAACUAUUUUUUGGUGCCUAUUUUCUUGUUGCAAAUUAUUAUAUAUAUUAUAUUAUUAUAGAGAUCUGCAGUAAUAAAUCCCAGAGCCCCAGAUGUCACUGAUGCUCCUGCUGCUCCUUAAGAAGGGUUCCUGACGAUUGUAUAUGCAGGACAGGUGUGACAGCAGGCAGCCACCAGACUCCGCCCAGGUAACCACGGAAACCUGCUCGCCCAGCCUGAAACUCAGAAACACCUCCAAGCCAAGUCAGAUCAUGACACCAUGAAACCCCCCAAAAUGAGAAAACCUCACUGAUCAAAAGAUCAUUUUCUAAAUUUGAGAGGGUUUUACAUUAAUCUCCUCUCUGGCGACCAACGCGUAUCUUGAAUUUAAGAGGAAAAACUAUGAUAUUUUCAAUUUACAAGAUUAACAGUUAUUUUAACCCAAACAACCAUUUUCUAAAGAUAUUAAACUAACUAUGUUGCCAACUCUUAAAGUUGAAAUUCUAAUUGUAGUUCUUUCAUACAAAGCAGCGACAAAUAUUUGAAUACGGUUGUUGGGUGAAGCCUCCUGUUAAAGAAAAUGAAAAGCAAUCAGCGGGAUUCUAAACUGCUGCGAUCAGUCAAUAGAUUUUUUUCCUUUAGAAUCUAAUAAGCAAAAAUCCAUCCAGCCAGUGAUUGGAUUCUAGGAAGGUGAACAUAAUAAAGAUGCUCCCCUCUAGAUGGAAAUCUGAUGUAUGUGUGUGUGUGUGCGCGCAAGCAGGACCAUGCAUGAUGAUUCAUUUCAUUAUGCCCACUUUACUGUCUCAGUGAUGUCUUAAGUGGGGACGGAAAAUUAGAUGUCAUCAGGAGACGGUGAUAUUAUUCUGUUGAGCUCUUUUGGAUUUGAAAGUCGUUUGCUUGUUUUUACGACUGGAGGAGGGCGUCAUUGGGGGGGACGGGGAGAAUUUGUAAUUUCGCCGCCUCGCAUUCAAUUUAGCAAACCCACUUUGUUCAAACAACACACCUCACUUAGGCCUUAACCUUAUCUCUACUAUACAGCACCGGAGUUUGUGAAUCUAUUACGGCCUCGAUGCGAUGCUCUUGUAAUACGAUAAAAAUGAAAUGUGUGUAUAUCAGCAAAAUCGGCUUGCGUAGACACCUUGGCUUUAACUCGAUUAAAGACUCGGACUGGAUUUGAGAAACUUGGAGUUGUGAAGAAGAUCUACAGCUUUAGCAGGACCAAAGGCAGAGCAGAGGAAGUGAAAUGUUUAAGACGCACGGUAGAAAGUGUAGCAAGCCCAAACUGUGUACACUGGAAGCUGGUCUACCCCCACCCCCUUUGGUUGGAAGGUUUUCUGUGAGAAUCUGGAACCUGGCUACAGGGAUUUUUUCCCCAUUAGAGAGGUCAGCCACUGAGCAAUAAAGCAUUGGAUCAAAGCCGGUUUUUCUAGUUCAUCCCAAAGCUGUUGGAUGGGGUUGAAGUCUUUUACUACCAAAAUGGGCAAAGCAUUUCUUUAUGGACCUGGCUUUCUGCAUGUCGGGGCACAGUAAUGUUGGAACCAAACGAAGAUGAAAAACAAUCACAGGAGGCUUAUUUGUGAAAACACACUGGAGGGGCUGGAAAGCUGAAACUAAAUGAAAGGACAGGAAUUAUGGACACGAUGACUGAAAGGAUAAAAAAAUAACCAUCUUACAGGCUUGUUCUAAUGGACUCAGACGGUCUAACAAAGAGAGAUUUGGAACAUAUGAGGCAUCGUAAUACUUCCCAAAAUUACUUUCAACUCUGACACAGAAGUUAUUUUGCACCUCCCGCCUGAUGCAGACUUUCCUUUUUUAUUUCAGUCAAGUGCCUCUUUAAACCAACGAGUGACCCCGCUUAUUCUAAGCUUCCUAUCCAUCACUUCAGGAACCAGACAACACAUUGGGGUGCGGUUCAGUCGAGGAGCUGAGUGUGAUGUAUGACUGUCUACUAAUGCCAUCAUAACUAUUCCCUAGUGGCACAUUAAUUCACUUUUAUGGUUUCCCCUCCAAAGCCACUCUCUUUUCCUUCUCAUACUUCAGAUGUUAUUUUUGUGGCCCGCUGUGAUUUAUUAGCCUAAAUCUUUAAGGACGCUGGUAGUUAAUAGCGGCUGCAAAUCUACAGCAGCAGCUACAGCGUAUAGCCGCAACCUUCCUUCCCGUGACGCAGCACGAGAUGAAAAAGCUCAGCAGAGCGCUGAAUAAACGAACCUCAGUCGCAGGUCACAUAUCAUAAGGCUGGUGGGAGUACAAAUUGCAUCUCUAAAUCAACAUCUUUCCCUCACCGCCUUAAAGGUAUACCUGCUUAGAAGUAAUUACUUUGCAUAUGCGUACGGUGCACUGCCGAUUUGAGGUAUUGCGUCCUUCCUCAAGGAAGUUAAUGAAUUCAUGGUGGCUUGUUUACUUUCAUUCGCUGAUUCCACGGACUUCAGGAAUUAGUUUUGAACUUCAUGAAUUGACCUUGGGACUUUAUGCCACGAUUGUAAAGCAUUGAGGGCAUAAUUGGUAUAACUCAGAAUAAUGUGGUACUGGCAUGUUGGUCAUACUAAUUUGUUUUUGGGGGAUUUUUUGAGCUUGGAAGGUGCGAGGUCUAAGACGUGGCCAGAAUGUUGGAUCACAACAUUCAAUAAAUUAACUGCGAUAAUAACACAAUGAGAAUAUAUUACAUUUUUUUAUAAUACCGAAAUUAAGCAGCUAGCCUCUGCCUGUCCUGUCUGGUGAAAAUGACAUUUCAAUUGCCCUUCUGUUGACAAUUUAGCAUUUUUAAACAUUACUGAUAUUGAAUGGAUCCAAUAGAAGAAGUGACAUGCUGGACGCUAAUUCUCUGUAGCACGUGUUCCCACGAGACACUUACUCACCUCCAGCUUUGUGCUGCUUUUGUGUACAAUGCGUCGGGAUAUCUUCCCGAAACCUUUGACACUCUUCCUCACCGUGAUGGUUUCCCUUUGCAUCUGUUGAUGUGCAUGGUUUAAUUUUAGUUUAGAAAUCCCCCCCCCCCCACAAAAGGACGGAUUCGGCUCCAGCACAGCGCCACUGGGGUCCAGCGCUGUCAAGGGCGCUUAAGUCGAGUGAACGUUUGCUGUCACGGGAUUUUUUGGGUUCAGACCAUCACGUGGAAGGACAACCGAUCUGCUCAUUACACCAUCAUGCUGCACUGCUUUCAUCCCAAUGCAAUAAUGGAUAUGCUGCCGAGGUCAUGGAUGUGAUUCUACGUGAGAGGCCAAAGGCAAGAGCAUCUGACCGUUACCGCUGUGAAUCCUAUUUCUGAGACUUUUUCUUAGAAGUGCUGAGAAAAAGUCUGAAUGGCGAUAGCUGAUUUCUUUCUUGGUAGUUUCUAAAACUCAAGCUGUCACGCUAAGUGUUCCCCCCUCUAGACAGAAAUACAGAGGAAUAGGGAACGAAAGUAACGCUUUUACUUCUAUGGAUGCUAUUUUUUGCUGCACUCCAAAAUGGUGAUUAAUUGCUUCUGCCAUGCAACAUUUAUAAUGUUCCAGGAAAACCUCAGGAUGUCCGUGUUGUCUUUUGUUAACCCCACUGGGACAGCUCUGGUCCUACCUUACUGCUUUUACGUCGCUUUCUUUUUUCAUCGACGUGCUUCGAUCCAAUAAGCUCUUUGCCAUGUUCUCUCUGCCAGCUUCUUCUCUAUUUAUUAUAUUAUAUUUUUGGAGAUUUCAGCCUUUUCAAUAUGUUGUACCUUUUUUAUAUAUGUAUUUAUUUGUCAUCAUACUGAGUUUAAAUCUAAGCAGCUUAAUGCCCAAUGAACCAUCGUCUCUACAUGACAUGAGGUUAAAAAUGUGCAGGUGCAUUCAAAGCAACCAAUAUCAAGUUGACCUUUUUCACAGCAGACAUUUUGACUUUUCACAUCAGGAUUAAUAAUUUUCAUGAUGGCUCAGUUCCAUUCCAUUCCUAGUCUUUACACACAAUAUUGUGACCUCCCCUAAGUGGAUUGCUGCCGUCAUUAAUUCCAUCUGUGCUUCUCCCCCCCCCCCCCCCCCCCCAAAAAAUGGCAAAGUGGUGGCCAUUAAAAAAGGCUAUUGGCAAGACUUUAAUUGUAAAGGGGGCCUGGGACUCUUUGGAUAAAGAUGGGUCAAGUGACUGUGCAGGGGGACUUCUCAAUUUAUCCCCCAAACAUCGAGGGGCCGAAAAAAAAAGGGACUUGCUUCUUUUGACGGGAAAGGCGCCAUUG
Molecule: long non-coding RNA, 17148 nt
Organism: Gasterosteus aculeatus aculeatus (three-spined stickleback)
Lineage: Eukaryota; Metazoa; Chordata; Actinopteri; Perciformes; Gasterosteidae
Source: Ensembl